GAUGAACGCUGGCGGCGUGCCUAAUACAUGCAAGUCGAACGAGGUUUUGCUGAUUGAAUUCUUCGGAAUGAUUUCUUUAAAAACCGAGUGGCGGACGGGUGAGUAACACGUGGGUAACCUGCCCUUAAGUGGGGGAUAACAUUUGGAAACAGAUGCUAAUACCGCAUAAACCUCCGGACCACAUGGUCCGGAGUUGAAAGGCGGCUUUCGAGCUGUCGCUUUUGGUAUGGACCCGCGGCGUAUUAG
Molecule: ribosomal RNA, 246 nt
Filed under: uncultured bacterium
Lineage: Bacteria
Description: partial 16S ribosomal RNA
Rfam family: Bacterial small subunit ribosomal RNA
Source: RNAcentral